CACUUUUUAUUUAAAGCUUUGGUGGAUACGGAUUGGCUCGCGUGACAUUAGCUAGAUGGUAAGGUAACGGCUUACCAUAGCUAUGAUGUCUAGGGGUUCUGAGAGGAAGGUCCCCCACACUGGAACUGAGACACGGUCCAGACUCCUACGGGAGGCAGCAGUGAGGAAUAUUGGACAAUGGAUGGAAAUCUGAUCCAGCCAUGCCGCGUGAAGGAAGAAUGUCCUAUGGAUUGUAAACUUCUUUUGUAUGGGAGCAAUAAGGUCUUCGUGAAGGCCGAUGAGAGUACCAUACGAAUAAGCACCGGCUAACUCCGUGCCAGCAGCCGCGGUAAUACGGAGGGUGCAAGCGUUAUCCGGAUUUAUUGGGUUUAAAGGGUGCGUAGGCUGUUAUAUAAGUCAGCGGUGAAAGUUUUCAGCUUAACUGGAAAAAUGCCGUUGAUACUGAUAGGCUAGAAUAUGGUUGCUGUGGGUGGAAUGUGUGGUGUAGCGGUGAAAUGCUUAGAUAUCACACAGAAUAUCAAUUGCGAAGGCAGCUCACAAAGCCAUUAUUGACGCUGAGGCACGAAAGUGUGGGGAUCAAACAGGAUUAGAUACCCUGGUAGUCCACACCGUAAACGAUGAUAACUCGCUGUCGGCGAUAAACAGUCGGUAGCCAAGCGAAAGCGAUAAGUUAUCCACCUGGGGAGUACGACCGCAAGGUUGAAACUCAAAGGAAUUGACGGGGGCCCGCACAAGCGGAGGAACAUGUGGUUUAAUUCGAUGAUACGCGAGGAACCUUACCCGGGCUCGAACGGUGCAUGAAUACAUAAGAGAUUGUGUAGCUAGCAAUAGCAUGUAUCGAGGUGCUGCAUGGUUGUCGUCAGCUCGUGCCGUGAGGUGUCGGCUUAAGUGCCAUAACGAGCGCAACCCUUGUCGUUAGUUGCCAUCAGGUAAUGCUGGGAACUCUAGCGAGACUGCCACCGUAAGGUGUGAGGAAGGGGGGGAUGACGUCAAAUCAGCACGGCCCUUACGUCCGGGGCGACACACGUGUUACAAUGGUAGGUACAGAGGGCAGCUACCCAGCAAUGGGAUGCGAAUCUCGAAAGCCUAUCUCAGUUCGGAUCGGAGUCUGCAACUCGACUCCGUGAAGUUGGAUUCGCUAGUAAUCGCGCAUCAGCCAUGGCGCGGUGAAUACGUUCCCGGGC
This 1184-nucleotide ribosomal RNA is filed under the name uncultured bacterium. Its description in RNAcentral is "bacterial SSU rRNA". It matches the Rfam family "Bacterial small subunit ribosomal RNA", at positions 191 to 1379 of the family's 1533-position model. The record is from RNAcentral.